This 253-nucleotide ribosomal RNA is filed under the name uncultured bacterium. Its description in RNAcentral is "partial 16S ribosomal RNA". It matches the Rfam family "Bacterial small subunit ribosomal RNA", at positions 524 to 776 of the family's 1533-position model. The record is from RNAcentral.
UACGGGGGGAGCAAGCGUUGUUCGGAAUUACUGGGCGUAAAGCGCGCGUAGGCGGACCUGCAAGUCGGGGGUGAAAGCCCGAGGCUCAACCUCGGAACUGCCUUCGAUACUGCGGGUCUCGAGUCCGGGAGAGGUGAGUGGAAUUCCUAGUGUAGAGGUGAAAUUCGUAGAUAUUAGGAAGAACACCAGUGGCGAAGGCGGCUCACUGGCCCGGUACUGACGCUGAGGCGCGAAAGCGUGGGGAGCAAACAGG